This 497-nucleotide ribosomal RNA is filed under the name uncultured bacterium. Its description in RNAcentral is "partial 16S ribosomal RNA". It matches the Rfam family "Bacterial small subunit ribosomal RNA", at positions 28 to 523 of the family's 1533-position model. The record is from RNAcentral.
GAUGAACGCUAGCGGCAGGCCUAAUACAUGCAAGUCGAGGGGCAGCGGGGUAGCAAUACUGCCGGCGACCGGCGCACGGGUGCGUAACACGUAUGCAACCUACCUUAAACUGGGAGAUAGCCCGGGGAAACUCGGAUUAAUACCCCAUAAUACAUUUGGUUUACAUGAAUUGAUUGUUAAAGAUUUAUCGGUUUAAGAUGGGCAUGCGUUCGAUUGGCUAGUUGGUAAGGUAACGGCUUACCAAGGCUACGAUCGAUAGGGGGUCUGAGAGGAUGAUCCCCCACACUGGUACUGAGAUACGGACCAGACUCCUACGGGAGGCAGCAGUAGGGAAUAUUGGUCAAUGGAGGCAACUCUGAACCAGCCAUGCCGCGUGUAGGAAGAAGGCGUUCUGCGUUGUAAACUACUUUUGAUUGGGAACAAAUGACUCUUGCGAGAGUAGCUGAGUGUACCAAAAGAAUAAGCCACGGCUAACUACGUGCCAGCAGCCGCCGUAA